CUGAGGGAGCUUGCUCACUAGGAACCCUAGCAUCCGCCCGCGAGAUGCCUCAAGAUCUCAUCCACUAUAAUGGCAAACGAGAUUUUUCAGGAGAGAUUUAUCCCAGGCCAAUCUUGGAUUGCCAUAUGAUGAAUCACAGGGAAUCUCGAAGCAUUUUGCUAAAUGCUCCUUGGUAAUGGGAGUGCACAGUUAAUGACAGCAGCAAUC
This 207-nucleotide long non-coding RNA is filed under the name Elaeis guineensis (African oil palm). RNAcentral's name for it is "long non-coding RNA (EGUI_LNC030465)". The record is from RNAcentral. Lineage: Eukaryota; Viridiplantae; Streptophyta; Magnoliopsida; Arecales; Arecaceae.